UGAUUUGGUGAGUUUUUAGGGAAGAACUAGUUAUUUGUUGAGGAAUUAUUAUGUAUUCAAGUGUUGUUAUGAAGGUUACGAGAGGUAUGUAUGGCUAGGCUUCGUAUUGUUACAGGUU
Molecule: long non-coding RNA, 118 nt
Organism: Ipomoea nil (Japanese morning glory)
Lineage: Eukaryota; Viridiplantae; Streptophyta; Magnoliopsida; Solanales; Convolvulaceae
Exons: 3
Source: RefSeq, a predicted model, not a curated record